RNAcentral lists this ribosomal RNA (515 nucleotides) under uncultured bacterium. Its description in RNAcentral is "bacterial SSU rRNA". It matches the Rfam family "Bacterial small subunit ribosomal RNA", at positions 28 to 526 of the family's 1533-position model. The record is from RNAcentral.
GACGAACGCUGGCGGCGUGCCUAAUACAUGCAAGUCGAGCGAAUGAUUGGGAGCUUGCUCCCAUGAUUUAGCGGCGGACGGGUGAGUAACACGUGGGCAACCUACCUGUAAGACUGGGAUAACUUCGGGAAACCGGAGCUAAUACCGGAUAAUUUCUUUUCUCGCAUGAGAAGAGAUGGAAAGACGGUUUCGGCUGUCACUUACAGAUGGGCCCGCGGCGCAUUAGCUAGUUGGUGAGGUAAUGGCUCACCAAGGCCACGAUGCGUAGCCGACCUGAGAGGGUGAUCGGCCACACUGGGACUGAGACACGGCCCAGACUCCUACGGGAGGCAGCAGUAGGGAAUCUUCCGCAAUGGACGAAAGUCUGACGGAGCAACGCCGCGUGAGCGAAGAAGGCCUUCGGGUCGUAAAGCUCUGUUGUUAGGGAAGAACAAGUACCAGAGUAACUGCUGGUACCUUGACGGUACCUAACCAGAAAGCCACGGCUAACUACGUGCCAGCAGCCGCCGUAACAC